AUUAUUAAGUCAGUGGUGAAAAUUCCGGGCUCAACCCGGGACUUGCCGUUGAAACUGAUAAUCUUGAGUGUAACUGAUGUGGGCGGAAUGUGUCAAGUAGCGGUGAAAUGCAUAGAUAUGACACAGAACACCGAUAGCGAAGGCAGCUCACAAAAUUACAACUGACACUGAGGCACGAAAGCGUGGGUAUCAAGCAGGAUUAGAUACCCUGGUAGUCCACGCUGUAAACGAUGAUCACUAGCUGUUUGCGAUACAUUGUAAGUGGUUAAGCGAAAGCGAUAAGUGAUCCACCUGGGGAGUACGUCGGCAACGAUGAAACUCAAAGGAAUUGACGGGGGCCCGCACAAGCGGAGGAGCAUGUGGUUUAAUUCGAUGAUACGCGAGGAACCUUACCUGGGCUUGAACGUAUGGUGCAUGAGUGUGAAAGCACUCUUUCCUUCACAGGACUUCAUACGAGGUGCUGCAUGGUUGUUGUCAGCUCGUGCCGUGAGGUGUUAGGUUAAGUCCUGCAACGAGCGCGACCCCUGUUUUUAGUUGCCAGCAGGUUAUGCUGGGCACUCUAGAAAGACUGCCUGCGCAAGCAGAGAGGAAGGUGGGGAUGACGUCAAAUCAGCACGGCCCUUACGUCCAGGGCUACACACGUGCUACAAUGGUCGGCACAGAGGGUGGCUACCCGGCAACGGGAUGCUAAUCUCCAAAGUCGAUCUUAGUUCGGAUCGAAGUCUGCAACUCGACUUCGUGAAGUUGGAUUCGCUAGUAAUCGUAUAUCAGCCAUGAUACGGUGAAUACGUUCCCGGGCCUUGUACACACCGCCCGUCAAGCCAUGGAAGUUGGGGGUACCUGAAGUCGAUUACCGUAAGGGAUUGCCUAGGGUAAACCGAUAACUGGGGCUAAGUCGUAACAAG
This 905-nucleotide ribosomal RNA is filed under the name uncultured organism. Its description in RNAcentral is "bacterial SSU rRNA". It matches the Rfam family "Bacterial small subunit ribosomal RNA", at positions 579 to 1495 of the family's 1533-position model. The record is from RNAcentral.